This 33-nucleotide small RNA is filed under the name Arabidopsis thaliana (thale cress). Its description in RNAcentral is "ATSL248120". Lineage: Eukaryota; Viridiplantae; Streptophyta; Magnoliopsida; Brassicales; Brassicaceae. The record is from RNAcentral.
CACCUCGUUCCUCAGCUCGCUCCGGAGUUCCUC